This 353-nucleotide long non-coding RNA is filed under the name Capra hircus (goat). RNAcentral describes it as "lncRNA (ENSCHIG00000007803.1)". Lineage: Eukaryota; Metazoa; Chordata; Mammalia; Artiodactyla; Bovidae. The record is from RNAcentral.
GUGGGGACAAACUGACAUUUGGAAAUAUUCUGGUCGAGUUCUGACUGGUGUUUGUUGAGGAUGCUGUUGUGAAGCCCAGGCAAGGACUGUCCUCAGAUUUUGGAGAAAGCUUCUUUGAAAAAGUUCAGAUGACAGAUGGAUACAAUUUCAUUCCCUAGGAGGAAGGAAAGCUGCUCAAAAACAAAAUUAUGACAACUGCGUAUAAGAGGAUCCUAAAAAUUUAAACUUGGAGAAAAGAGCCAAAAUAUUUUGCUUUUCAAUGGAUUGAAACUGUACCCCCUGUAUUGAACCGCUGGACCACCAGAGAGGUCCCACGAAGGAGGUUUUCCGAGGCAUUGGAAGUUUUAUAAUAG